CAUCAAAAUCAACAAGAUAAAAUAUUAAAUCAUUUGACAUGCACUUGGCUAAUACUCAAAUCAAGCAUUAAUAUUUUAAUAUACUUUCAAAUUGAAUGGUAGGAGUAAUUAUCAAUUUACCAACUUAUCUCUAAGAGUUUUAACUCCUCCAUCUUCUAUUUUGUGCUUUGAGCAUCCACAACUGAGGUACCAUUCUCUUUUGGAUUAAAGGGAUGUCAAGCACAUCUGCACUCACAA
This 237-nucleotide long non-coding RNA is filed under the name Elaeis guineensis (African oil palm). RNAcentral describes it as "long non-coding RNA (EGUI_LNC063721)". Lineage: Eukaryota; Viridiplantae; Streptophyta; Magnoliopsida; Arecales; Arecaceae. The record is from RNAcentral.